AUUGAACGCUGGCGGCAUGCUUUACACAUGCAAGUCGAACGGCAGCGCGGGCUUCGGCCUGCCGGCGAGUGGCGAACGGGUGAGUAAUGCAUCGGAACGUGCCCAGUAUUUGGGGAUAGCCCGGCGAAAGCCGGAUUAAUACCGCAUACGACCUGAGGGUGAAAGCGGGGGACCGAAAGGCCUCGCGCUAUUUGCGCUGCCGAUGUCGGAUUAGCUAGUUGGUGGGGUAAAGGCUUACCAAGGCGACGAUCCGUAGCUGGUCUGAGAGGACGACCAGCCACACUGGGACUGAGACACGGCCCAGACUCCUACGGGAGGCAGCAGUGGGGAAUUUUGGACAAUGGGGGCAAGCCUGACCCAGCCAUGCCGCGUGCGUGAAGAAGGCCUUCGGGUUGUAAACCGCUUUUGUUCGGGAAGAAAACCUCUGGGCUAAUACCCCGGGGGGAUGACGGUACCGGAAGAAUAAGCACCGGCUAACUACGUG
RNAcentral lists this ribosomal RNA (484 nucleotides) under uncultured bacterium. RNAcentral describes it as "partial 16S ribosomal RNA". It matches the Rfam family "Bacterial small subunit ribosomal RNA", at positions 29 to 507 of the family's 1533-position model. The record is from RNAcentral.